This 803-nucleotide long non-coding RNA is filed under the name Macaca nemestrina (pig-tailed macaque). RNAcentral describes it as "lncRNA (ENSMNEG00000045705.1)". The record is from RNAcentral. Lineage: Eukaryota; Metazoa; Chordata; Mammalia; Primates; Cercopithecidae.
AGUGAAUUGUGGGUGCCCGAUGGGGUGUAUACUGACCUGUUGUAUCGACUCCAGCUGUGGCUGGUGCAAGGGGGAGGAGGAACCCUGUUAUGAAUCUGAUACUUAUGAGGCUGUGGCUGCUGCAACAUCAGAAUCCACUACUGUAGAGCCUGGCAAGCUGGAUGUGGGAGCCACGGAGGGCCACGACCUGCAGCACAUCAGCAACCAAAAGAUGCCCACAGGUCCCCCUGAGGACAGCCUGAGUUUAAAAUCUCUACCACCAAGUGAGGAAGACAAUGAUGAUGCCCAGAUUUUACCAUCACCUGUGCAGGCUCGUCCUGAGGACGACCUGUUUUUAAGAUGCUCACCGCAACAUAAAGAUGAAGAUGAUAAUGAUGAUGGUGAUGUCCAGGUAAGAUCCCCCUUUUUUGUCUUCUACAGCAGUGUUGCUUUCCUGAUUCUUUACUUCUCAAUUAAUUUUGAUUUGAAAACCUGGCAAUGUACAUUAUGUACACUGUACACUAUUGUCUUUGUGGGGCUGGAAUUCAUAAGUGUGUCUUCCCAACUUCUACAUGGUCCGCUAUGCUGCUUCUAAAUGACAACAUCCAGUAUCAACUGGAAUACUGAGGCAUUUUCCACAAUACCAGUUUUCCUCCUUGGAUUAAGCAUUGUACAUUUGCAUAUAAAAUUAAAUUUAAAGGCAAAUUCUGUGAAUAGAAGUCUUGUUUUUCUAUAGCUAUCUUCUGUGCUAGUCUUUGGGGAUUUUGACCUAUGGCUCAAUCACUGUACUGCCUUCUGGUUUUUUUAUCGUUGUCCAGAGAAUA